CCCUUAGAGUUUGAUCCUGGCUCAGGAUGAACGCUAGCUACAGGCUUAACACAUGCAAGUCGAGGGGCAGCAUUUUAGUUUGCUUGCAAACUGAAGAUGGCGACCGGCGCGCGGGUGAGUAACACGUAUCCAACCUGCCGAUAACUCCGGGAUAGCCUUUCGAAAGAAAGAUUAAUACCGGAUGGCAUACGAAUAUCGCAUGAUAUUUUUAUUAAAGAAUUUCGGUUAUCGAUGGGGAUGCGUUCCAUUAGUUUGUUGGCGGGGUAACGGCCCACCAAGACUACGAUGGAUAGGGGUUCUGAGAGGAAGGUCCCCCACAUUGGAACUGAGACACGGUCCAAACUCCUACGGGAGGCAGCAGUGAGGAAUAUUGGUCAAUGGGCGAGAGCCUGAACCAGCCAAGUAGCGUGAAGGAUGAAGGCUCUAUGGGUCGUAAACUUCUUUUAUAUGGGAAUAAA
This 458-nucleotide ribosomal RNA is filed under the name uncultured bacterium. Its description in RNAcentral is "bacterial SSU rRNA". It matches the Rfam family "Bacterial small subunit ribosomal RNA", at positions 1 to 450 of the family's 1533-position model. The record is from RNAcentral.